UAACAGGAUUAGAUACCCUGGUAGUCCACGCCGUAAACGAUGAUAACUAGCUGUCCGGGCACUUGGUGCUUGGGUGGCGCAGCUAACGCAUUAAGUUAUCCGCCUGGGGAGUACGGCCGCAAGGUUAAAACUCAAAGGAAUUGACGGGGGCCUGCACAAGCGGUGGAGCGUGUGGUUUAAUUCGAAGCAACGCGCAGAACCUUACCAGCGUUUGACAUGUCCGGACGAUUUCCAGAGAUGGAUUUCUUCCCUUCGGGGACUGGAACACAGGUGCUGCAUGGCUGUCGUCAGCUCGUGUCGUGAGAUGUUGGGUUAAGUCCCGCAACGAGCGCAACCCUCGCCUUUAGUUACCAUCAUUUGGUUGGGUACUCUAAAGGAACCGCCGGUGAUAAGCCGGAGGAAGGUGGGGAUGACGUCAAGUCCUCAUGGCCCUUACGCGCUGGGCUACACACGUGCUACAAUGGCAACUACAGUGGGCAGCGACCCUGCGAGGGCGAGCUAAUCCCCAAAAGUUGUCUCAGUUCGGAUUGUUCUCUGCAACUCGAGAGCAUGAAGGCGGAAUCGCUAGUAAUCGCGGAUCAGCAUGCCGCGGUGAAUACGUUCCCAGGCCUUGUACACACCGCCCGUCACACCAUGGGAGUUGGAUUCACCCGAAGGCGUUGCGCCAACCCGCAAGGGAAGCAGGCGACCACGGUGGGUUCAGCGACUGGGGUGAAGUCGUAACAAGGUAACCA
Molecule: ribosomal RNA, 734 nt
Filed under: uncultured Sphingomonas sp.
Lineage: Bacteria; Pseudomonadati; Pseudomonadota; Alphaproteobacteria; Sphingomonadales; Sphingomonadaceae
Description: bacterial SSU rRNA
Rfam family: Bacterial small subunit ribosomal RNA
Source: RNAcentral